Molecule: ribosomal RNA, 991 nt
Filed under: uncultured bacterium
Lineage: Bacteria
Description: bacterial SSU rRNA
Rfam family: Bacterial small subunit ribosomal RNA
Source: RNAcentral
ACGGGAUUGGAAAUAGCAAUAUUACCAUGAGAGUGGCGCACGGGUGCGUAACACGUAUGCAAUCUGCCCCUAACUGGAAGAUAGCCCGGCGAAAGUCGGAUUAAUAUUCCAUAACAUUGCGAAACGGCAUCGUUUUGUAAUUAAAGCUCCGGCGGUUAGGGGUGAGCAUGCGCGACAUUAGCUAGAUGGCGAGGUAACGGCUCACCAUGGCUACGAUGUCUAGGGGGUCUGAGAGGAUUAUCCCCCACACUGGUACUGAGACACGGACCAGACUCCUACGGGAGGCAGCAGUAGGGAAUAUUGGGCAAUGGACGCAAGUCUGACCCAGCCAUGCCGCGUGCAGGAUGACGGCCCUAUGGGUUGUAAACUGCUUUUGUACAGGAAGAAACCCCUUUACGUGUAGAGGGCUGACAUUACUGUAAGAAUAAGGAUCGGCUAACUCCGUGCCAGCAGCCGCGGUAAUACGGAGGAUCCAAGCGUUGUCCGGAUUUAUUGGGUUUAAAGGGUGCGUAGGCGGACCAUUAAGUCAGAGGUGAAAGUUUGCAGCUUAACUGUAAAAUUGCCUUUGAAACUGGUGGUCUUGAGUACAGUUGAGGUGGGCGGAAUGUGUCAUGUAGCGGUGAAAUGCUUAGAUAUGAUACAGAACACCGAUUGCGAAGGCAGCUCACUAAACUGUAACUGACGCUGAGGCACGAAAGCGUGGGGAGCGAACAGGAUUAGAUACCCUGGUAGUCCACGCCCUAAACGUUGAAUACUCGUUGUUGGCGAUAUACAGUCAGCGACUAAGCGAAAGCAUUAAGUAUUCCACCUGGGGAGUACGACCGCAAGGUUGAAACUCAAAGGAAUUGACGGGGGCCCGCACAAGCGGAGGAGUUUGUGGUUUAAUUCGAUGAUACGCGAGGAACCUUACCUGGGCUUGAAAGUUAGCGACCGCUGCCGAAAGGUGGCUUCCCUUCGGGCGCGAAACUAGUGCUGCAUGGCUGUCGUCAGC